AUAAUUUAUACCUGUUUUCAAUAUUCAAGAUAUGAAGCUUUAUGAUUAAUAUAAAUUUGAUACCGAAUUCAAUACGAUUUAACAAGUAUGCAAUUGCAAGAAGCCAUAAAAAUUGCUCUUUCUUUUUUCGUGUUGCACAAGCAGAGAAGCUUUUAGCUUUCAUCGAAAUUAUGACGUCGAUUGAAAGGGCCCGAUAUAAAUUCCGUUACAUUAAUUAACAACACCUUGUACAACAUUCUUUUCGGAAUUAAAAGGAGUAAGAUAUAGAUUAAACAAAACUAUCCGUCACAAUGCUAUAUAUAUAUUACGGUCUGUAUUAGGGGAGGAGAUCUACAUUUCUGCAUUCUGUAUUUCUUUUGGCCAUUUUUCUCUAUUCAGUUAGAAAUAUAUGCCCUUCUCUGUAAAAUUCUUGGGUUCAGUUCCUGCAUUUCAAAACUUCCGUAUAUAAAAUUUUGACAAUAUAUAUUGUCUUGUCUGUAUCAACAACAUAAGUAUGACGACACUUCUCCGUAUAGCCCCUCUUUUUUAUUCUGUCACUGUACUGCAUAAAUGAUACCACGUUUGAAAUAAGUAUAAAACUUGGAGAAAAAAAAAGUAUUUCAAAUUCUUCGAAAUAAGUUGGAUAGCUGGGAUCAUAAACAAAAGUAAAGAUGAUAUGAGGUAUAUUUUAUCAUAUUUUCCUUGUGAUUCGAGGUACUGGUAAUGAGGAGCUGAACGUUCAGUUUGAUAACAGUGACAGUACCGGUAGCUAACCGACAUUAAGAGAAAUCUGAAAUCGGAUAAAAU
This 786-nucleotide long non-coding RNA is filed under the name Mytilus galloprovincialis (Mediterranean mussel). The record is from RNAcentral. Lineage: Eukaryota; Metazoa; Mollusca; Bivalvia; Mytilida; Mytilidae.